Molecule: ribosomal RNA, 411 nt
Filed under: uncultured bacterium
Lineage: Bacteria
Description: bacterial SSU rRNA
Rfam family: Bacterial small subunit ribosomal RNA
Source: RNAcentral
GUGCCAGCCGCCGCGGUAAUACGUAGGGGGCGAGCGUUUCCCGGAUUUAUUGGGCGUAAAGGGCGCGUAGGCGUCCACGCACGUCCGUUGUGAAAUCGCCCGGCUCAACUGGUCUAGGUCAGCGGAUACGGUGUGGCUCGAGCAAGCUAGGGGGCAAUGGAAUUCCCGGUGUAGUGGUGGAAUGCGUAGAUAUCGGGAGGAACACCAGUGGCGAAGGCGGUUGCCUGGAGCUUUGCUGACGCUGAUGCGCGAAAGCGUGGGGAGCGAUCCGGAUUAGAUACCCUGGUAGUCCACGCCGUAAACUAUGGGUGCUAGCCGUCGGUCGGCAUGCCGGUCGGUGGCGCAGCAAACGCAUUAAGCACCCCGCCUGGGGAGUACGGUCGCAAGAUUAAAACUCAAAGGAAUUGACGG